This is a long non-coding RNA of Capsicum annuum, 3581 nucleotides long. RefSeq lists it as uncharacterized. The transcript is spliced from 3 exons. The record is from RefSeq and is a predicted model, not a curated record. Lineage: Eukaryota; Viridiplantae; Streptophyta; Magnoliopsida; Solanales; Solanaceae.
UAGGAUUCUAACCCAUGAUUAAUUACAAAAUUCAUGUGAAUUAAAUAGCAUGUGUGUAGUAUUAUGCAGUUUUAUGUUGGAAACCCUUGAAUUUGUGAGUUUGGAAUUGUGAUCAUGAUGCUUGCAUAUUGACUAGUAUUAUAUGCAUAAACUACGCCCCCCUCCAAGUGUUUGAUAAAAUGUUCAUGUGAUUUGAGUAGUGAAAUCAUAUCAUGUUAGCAUGUAUACAAGCUUAUACCAUUCAAGUGCUUGAUAAAAUGCCUCAAAGAAUGAAUUGUGACAAAGUGUCUAGUUAUCAUGCUUUCAAGAUUAUGCUAUAUUUUACAAUUUACGUAAUUGAGUCCUAGGGAUAUCUAAUACCCGACAAUCUAGCUAUUUACCUAGACUUACAGUAGUUACAGAAUAGUCUAAGUAGUAUCACAAACAGUAGUACUCAGUCUAGUUCAAUCAGUUAACAGAACUUAGUGAACUUAGUUCAGUUAGACAACACGAUUAGUAACAGUUUAGCCAAGCCUAGAACAGUCUAGAAAUCAGUUUAGUGUAUAUUCAAUUGGGAGUAAGAAUCAGCAUUGAGUGAACCCAGGGAUGGGGGUAUUCCUGUUAGAAAAAGGUUUGACCCUUAGUAGCAAUCUCUGCGUUACAGAACUACGUAGCCAACGUAGGUUGAGAUAUCUUUUUGCCAGACUAGGGUUGAUAAAUCUCUUACAAGUUUUCCUGCCAGCAAGGGUUGACGAAAUAUCUUCCUACCAGAGAAGGUUAACUCACAACUAUUGUUAGUAUUCCUUGGCAAGGUGCUAACACCCUUCCAACUGGGGUCACAAGUUGGGCCCUAACUCAGUUUAAAAUCGAGGUGUGUUAAUUAGAUGAACACUCCCACAGUUACAGUUUCAGUUUCAGACUCAGUAUAAAAACCUUUGUUCAAUUUUAGAAUCAGGACUGUCAGAUACAGUCACCCAAAUUAGCACAGAACUCAGUUCAGUUCCACAGAAUCAGGACUAUCAGAAAUAGUCACCCAGUUGUCUGUAAUUCAAUUAUCAGUGAUCUUAGUUUCAAUAUUAGUAGAUUUAUACGUAGCAUUGCAUAGUUAGUAAUUACAAUAAUUUUAGAUAUACAUGUACUCUCAUUCAGUUAUAUUCAUAUUAUUCUUCAUGCAUAUCAGCCUACCUCACUUAGCAUACCAGUACAUUCAAAGUACUGAUGCAUACUUUUCUUUUGCGCUAUGAUAUCUUAUAUCGUAGGUUCAGACGCAUGGGCUCCUAACAGUACUUAGUAGCCUAGAUUUUCAGCAGUAAAUAAAGUGGUUUGAUGCAUUUCUAGUGAGAUGUUCCAUCGUCGGAACAACGACAAUGGCGGUAGACUGCUGCAGCUAAUUUUGGCAGCAGGUUUAUGAAUUUUGGGUGGUUGAUGAGGCAGGUUCCAGCGUCGCCCAGUGGAUAUUACUUUGAUGAUGGGAUUGUAUUACCGGUGGAGAUGCAUUUUUGAAAAAUAGGUACAAACAAGCAAUUGUGACCACAAAGUUCUUCUUAUCAGGUAUGUUCUAUACUGACAUAAGCAUAGGUUGUCUAAGUUGAAAUAGUUGAGCAUACCUAUUCCUUACACUUUAUCCUCCCCUUGUCGUAUAAAGAUGACGAAUUGAUUGACCAAACUUUCUUUGAUUCUCUCCAAAUGGUUGUGCACAAAUGAGUUAAUCCUACACCAGAAAUUCCUUCUUCUCUCUCAAUCAAAAUAUCAGUUUUGUACUAUGAAUUUGCCAAGCUUGAUCAUCAAUCAUAUGAAGCAUAUGUUUCUGAAGAAUGAAAAGGGAUAUGCUCUCCCUUUUAGUUCCUAAUUGGCUCAGAUCUUUUAGGAUUUCUCAGUCCUAGUUUAGGUUAGACUUUUCAAACAACAAUGGAUGUUUUUGAACAGAUGAAUCAUGCUGUUCUACCUGGUUCAAUAAGGAGGGCUAAAACUCAUUGCAAAGAAAAAAUGAUAAGAAAAAUGAUUUAGCCGAGAUAAAUUCUGAACUAAAAGCUGCAUCUGAUAGUCAUGAAGCGGAAUAAGUGGUCCUUCAGGCUAGGAUCGUGACUUUGAAGCUUGACCUUGAUUGAGAAAGGGAUGAAAUGUUGAAGUCUUUCAUCAAUUGACACAGUUGAUAACACUUGUUCCACCUUCCUCAUCAGCUCCUCACUAUUUAUCCUUAGUCAUGUCCCACUUUUAUACCAUUUUUUUUAUUAAUGCUUAGUUAUUUUGCUUUGUUCAGUACUAGCUUAGGUCUAAUGUGGAAUAUGCUCUGGCAGUUAAAUGUAAUAGUUAUCUUUGCUAAAUUGACUCAUAUGUUUGCUCUCUUUAAUACAUUACUAUGUUGGUUAAAGUCUUUGUCUAGUUGUUUUGGUGAUAGCCCCAGUAGCCAUGAAUAGCAUAACAAAUCAAUUUGGCUAGUCUAUUAUUGCAUUGAAAUGAUUUUGAUAAUGCCAAAAGGGGGAAGAAAAGAGGGUUGUGCAAUGUUUAUAACCCAUUGACUAACUUGUUUCAUUCUAGUGUUUUAUACUUUAGUGCCUACAGGUGAAGAUGUUUGAAUGCAUAAAGACAAGAGGUUUGUUAUCAUCAAAAAGGGGAAAUUUGUUGGAACCUUGAAGUUUUGAUGAAUGACAAUAUGAAUGAAACAAGUUGAUAUACGUGUUCCACUGAUCCGACAAGUUCAAGAGUGCAGUCUACGGUAUAAAUAAUUAAAAAUCAGAAUGAGUUAAAUCAGUGCAAAUGAAAACUUCAACUUACUGAUCACGUGGGGAAUAGAAAAAGAUGAAUUUGAUUCAAACACUUGAUGAUAAGGGAAAGCAAGUUGAAUUGAAAAAAGAGUCCUAUCUGAAGAAGUAGUUUCACUUCUGAGCAUAUCCUUAUGUAAAACGUACAAUUUGAAGGACUCUUUGGAGAGUUGGAGUUUGACUACAACACUAAGGAGACAAGAGUUGGAAUUGAAGAAGGAGUCUCACUUGAAGUAGAACUCUAUGCAAUGAGAGUUCUGAUUGAAGGGGGAGUUUGAAAUAAAGAAUGACUCUUUGAAGAGCUGUGCUUAAAUAGAAGAUGCAUCAGUCAGAAUAAACUACAUACUUAAAAAGCAGAAAAGAACAAUCAACUGAUUGACUUCACGAAGUGUCACUCAAUCACUGAAGAAACACAUUGAAGAACAUGGUCCUAAGUGUAGAAUCUAACUAAGAGUUUUAGCGUUGAUUUUUAGAGUUGUUCAUUGUGUUUGAAAUAUUGAUGUAAUAUUAGUUUCAGUGUGUUAUAAACUAAACUAGGAGCUAGUCUUCGAGUUGGGAAAAACUCAGAGACUUUGGGAACACGUACCUUGGGAGGUGUGUGUAGUUAGGAAUUAGAGUUUAUAACUCCUAGUCGUUGAGCUAAAGGAAUUAGAGUUUAUAAUUCCUAUUUGUUGGUUACAAGGGUUUUGUAAUCAGUCGCUGUUGAGGCUCAGAGUUAUUUAGUGAAGUUGGGGUUAAAUCCUGUAGAGGAGUUAUUUAGUGAAGUUGGGGUUAAAUCCUGUAGAGGUGCAGGUCGUGAUUUUUUACACCUUUUUGAGCCGGGUGUUUUCCACGUAAAAA